GUCCUGGAGGGGGACAAAAGAAAACAGACAUAAUGUCACAGAAGGUAAACAGCUGAACUUGACUGCUGAGAACCCAGUAAUAGUUCUACUUUAAUAAAGGAAAUAAUAAUUAACAAAAUAAACGAAGCAUGAGUAUUGUUUAUCCAUCCAUCUAUCUUCCAGCAGCUUGUCCAGUGUAGGGUUGUAGGGGGGGCAGACAGCUUAGGGCAGAAGGCAGAAAAACACAUGAUGGGAUGCCAGACCAUUCUAGAAUACACAGACGCACACACACACACACACACAUACACACAGCCAGACAGACACAAAGUCACACAACGGGAAUUUUUGCAAGAUACUUCUAAAAGUCAAACAUUUUAAGGGGACAUAGGAAACAGGGUUUUGUGUCAAAGUUUGAAACCUUAUCGCAUACCAUGUCUACACAUACAGUGUCCCAUGAAAAAUUUACAAGAAAAUCAAUGUUUUCUUUUUAUUGCAUAAGUUUCAUAUCUGUGGUGCAGGGGGUUUCCUGUCCAAAGUCAACAUUAGGGCAUUUAAGUAUCACUACCUCACUUAUUUUCCAGGCAGUAAAGCUUCAAUAAUACAAUAAUUGCAGGAGCUGCUAAGGAGUGAACCUUUAAGAAAGAAAGAUAUUCAAUACCUGUUCCAGAUGGACAUCUGCAUUAUUCAGAACAAGCUUGGCACCUGGGCUGGGCCCAAACACACAGAACCCCCCUGUCAGAGCGGAAGAGGUGGAUUGGGGUGAGAAGGGGGGGGGUCCUACCAUGUUGGGUUCCACGGAGAUGUGCCAGGAGCAGCUGAUGCCUGCUGGGUAAUCCACCUCCGGCCAAUUGGGCGUCUUGACUGUCCCCUGCGGCUUCGUCAGCCGACCUCCGCAGAACUGGUGCUCUUGGAUUCGGAGGAACAGAAGCCCUGAAAUCCCUUUUGCACACCUUUUAUAUUCUCAUAUCUAACCCUGACGGUUCUCUUCUUGUGUUACUACGUGACAUUCCAGUUCUUGAAUUAAUGACUUCACACUGAAGUUUAGUAAUUGGGAUGGGGGAGGGGGAGAACGGGGACAGGACAAGGGUGCAGAAGAGCAGUGCUUUGACUAACACUUUACUUGAGGAGGCACAAGUAACUCAGUUUCAACUUAUGUACAAAUCAUGAACUAAAAUAGUUCCUGCAUGAAAUACAUGAACUGUUGUUGAACAAACAAGGGAUCAGUAUGUAACUAAUACUUGGUUUCUGGUUAAUUAAAACAUUAGGUAAGAGUAUACUACUACAUUUGCAUACUACUACCUCAAGUAAGGUGUUACCACCUUAUAUGAUAUAUGCCUUAUAACACUGUAUUAGGAGUGUGUAUAUAACUUCUUUAUUACAGAACAUAUCCUUUCAAAAUAACAGUAUCCUGCUUAUUCUUAUGGUGCCUUCAUUUAACUACCCCUGCGAGAUGCAAGAAGGAAACAACGCAGAAAUAAAGAUAAAGAACAUUAUUCCUGGAAAUACAGCGUCUCAAAGGUACAAGCCUGGGAGAGAAGAGAGUGCAGGCAUGACGAUGAUGAGGCAGAAGAUUUACAGCGUUCUCUCACCAUCCACAUGCGGUUUGCCCCCACGAAAGUAUGCUAGGAAGCCGCGGCCCCCCGUCUCCGAAUCUGACUCCAUCUCCACCAUCAUGGUGUUGCUGGUGGAAAUCAGGCUGCCAGGACGGAAGGUUCCACAGAACCGGCCCAGCAUCUGUGCUGUGCGGGUGUGCCCGUUGUAGACGUCUACGAAGUCAUAACGGCAGCGUGGGUCGGCCUCCAGGUCGAAGACGCGGAAGGACAGCAUGACCACAUGGCCUUCUGGGACCUGGCGUGGUGACAGUUAUAGCUGAUUGGGCCACCUGGACUUCCUGCCAGUGUGUGGAAACAGGAAAUAUGCCCGGUGGGUAAAAAUGGACCACAUGACCCUGACAAAACGAAUGCGAGAGCUGUGGAGACGGUCCCAGCGUGAGCGCUCGGACUCAAGACCCGCUGGAGAGCUAUGAUGUGUACAGUGUGUAGGUAUAUUUGCCAAACGUAACAAGCAAGAUACAGAAUGUUAAGGAACUGUUUGGAUUAUUCUUAUAGAGGCUAUAUAUAUAUAUAUGAAACAUUGUACAUUUACAUUACAUUUAUAUAUAUAUAUAUAAAUUUACAAUUGUGUCCUUCAAGUGUUUCUGCCUUGUUCAAGCAAUUAAAACUCUGCAGAUCUUGAAUAAACCUACAACAAGCUAAAUGCAAUGUGGUCUUAAACUAGCUUAAGUCACUAUGCUAUAUGUGAGUGAUGUAAGUCAGUGUUGUAUGAGUCAAAAGGGGGGUAGGUCAUUAAUAACAGUUUAGUUAAAAACAGAUAACUUUGCUGAUGAUAGUUUCAGAAUUUAUAAGAUUUAUGUUAAGGUAAAGUGCAUAAUUUAGUAUCUGGUAAUGUCUGAAUGUGAAGUGAUUGUUUAGUAAUAAUUCUGAUUGGACAUUUUUUUUUGGUGAGUUUGAGCUCGAUAUAUUUGGAAGCGACAGUUUGACGGUGUACCUGGUAUUAUAACUGUGUGUUUUAAAGUGAAUACUUAGAAGGAAAGUUACAUUGUCUAUUCACUCACAUCAUGAAGAACUGUCUGUCUGUUUGACAGUGGUACAGACAGUGUAGGUGUCUUUCCUAAACGGAAGACUUUGGUGUCUAAAGUGUCGGAAAAAAAAGAAACUUCCAUGUUCUGGCCCCAUGUCCCUGUGCUGUAUAAGACUUUGGAAGAGGGAUGGACUAUGAAGUAAAUUCCCAGUUGCAUGUGUGUCUGGAC
This is a long non-coding RNA of Brienomyrus brachyistius, 2788 nucleotides long. RefSeq lists it as uncharacterized. The record is from RefSeq and is a predicted model, not a curated record. The transcript is spliced from 3 exons. Lineage: Eukaryota; Metazoa; Chordata; Actinopteri; Osteoglossiformes; Mormyridae.